Molecule: long non-coding RNA, 165 nt
Organism: Sapajus apella (tufted capuchin)
Lineage: Eukaryota; Metazoa; Chordata; Mammalia; Primates; Cebidae
Exons: 4
Source: RefSeq, a predicted model, not a curated record
GGUGCAAAAUCUUCUGAUGGCAUCUGUUACGGUUUGGCUGUGUCCCCACCCAAAUCUCAUCUUGAUUUCCCAUGUGUUGUUGGAGGGACCUGGUAGCAGGUAAUUGAAUCAUGGGGCCAAGUCUUUCCUGUGCUGUUCUCAUGAUAGUGAAUAAGUCUUACAAGA